Molecule: long non-coding RNA, 336 nt
Filed under: Homo sapiens (human)
Lineage: Eukaryota; Metazoa; Chordata; Mammalia; Primates; Hominidae
Description: long non-coding RNA NONHSAT039730.2
Source: RNAcentral
AACAGCGGGGAGGACCUGGCCGUCAACAUCAUCUUCCCCGAGAAGAUCGACAUGACCACCUUCAGCAAGGAGGCCGGCGACGAGGAGAUCUAAGCAGCGUUCCCACAGCCCCCUCUAGAUUCUUGGAGUUCCGCAGAGCUUACUAUACGCGGUCUGUCCUAAUCUUUGUGGUGUUCGCUAUCUCUUGUGUCAAAUCUGGUGAACGCUACGCUUACAUAUAUUGUCUUUGUGCUGCUGUGUGACAAACGCAAUGCAAAAACAAUCCUCUUUCUCUCUCUUAAUGCAUGAUACAGAAUAAUAAUAAGAAUUUCAUCUUUAAAUGAGUAAGAGAAAUAA